Molecule: ribosomal RNA, 332 nt
Filed under: uncultured Acidobacteriota bacterium
Lineage: Bacteria; Pseudomonadati; Acidobacteriota
Description: bacterial SSU rRNA
Rfam family: Bacterial small subunit ribosomal RNA
Source: RNAcentral
CGCGUAGGCGGCUUUGUAAGUCCGUUGUGAAAUCCCUCGGCUCAACCGAGGAACUGCGACGGAUACUGCUUGGCUUGAGUCCCGGAGAGGGUAGCGGAAUUCCCAGUGUAGCGGUGAAAUGCGUAGAUAUUGGGAGGAACAUCGGUGGCGAAGGCGGCUACCUGGACGGGUACUGACGCUGAUGCGCGAAAGCUAGGGGAGCAAACAGGAUUAGAUACCCUGGUAGUCCUAGCUGUAAACGAUGGGCACUUGGUGUUGCGGGUAUCGACCCCUGCAGUGCCGAAGCUAACGCAUUAAGUGCCCCGCCUGGGGAGUACGGUCGCAAGGCUGAA